UGGGGAAUAUUGGACAAUGGGCGAAAGCCUGAUCCAGCCAUGCCGCGUGUGUGAAGAAGGUCUUCGGAUUGUAAAGCACUUUAAGUUGGGAGGCGUUACCGACAGAAUAAGCACCGGCUAACUCUGUGCCAGCAGCCGCGGUAAUACAGAGGGUGCAAGCGUUAAUCGGAAUUACUGGGCGUAAAGCGCGCGUAGGUGGUUCGUUAAGUUGGAUGUGAAAUCCCCGGGCUCAACCUGGGAACUGCAUUCAAAACUGACGAGCUAGAGUAUGGUAGAGGGUGGUGGAAUUUCCUGUGUAGCGGUGAAAUGCGUAGAUAUAGGAAGGAACACCAGUGGCGAAGGCGACCACCUGGACUGAUACUGACACUGAGGUGCGAAAGCGUGGGGAGCAAACAGGAUUAGAUACCCCUGUAGU
RNAcentral lists this ribosomal RNA (415 nucleotides) under uncultured bacterium. RNAcentral describes it as "bacterial SSU rRNA". It matches the Rfam family "Bacterial small subunit ribosomal RNA", at positions 355 to 794 of the family's 1533-position model. The record is from RNAcentral.